UGAGUCAGAGUUGACUGACUGAGAAGCGUGACACAGUACACGUUUACCCAGGUGGAACAAGAAGUAGUUCCCACCAGUCGCAUAUCAUUUGGACCAGAUCCCAAUAGUUCAGCUACUUUCCACUGUAUUCCUGAUAUGUAUUGCCUCAAAUGACUGAAGUGUCAAAAGUAUCGAUAUUUUGUUUUGUGAAUCAAUUCUACAGUGUAAAGAUUUGGUUUCGGAGAUAUUGAUAUUUCAGUAUCAAUCCGCACAUCACUACAAUUCAUGUCAUGUUGAAA
This is a long non-coding RNA of Sphaeramia orbicularis (orbiculate cardinalfish), 278 nucleotides long. RefSeq lists it as uncharacterized. NCBI's taxonomy places the organism in Eukaryota, Metazoa, Chordata, Actinopteri, Kurtiformes, Apogonidae. The record is from RefSeq and is a predicted model, not a curated record. The transcript has 3 exons.